Molecule: ribosomal RNA, 337 nt
Filed under: uncultured bacterium
Lineage: Bacteria
Description: partial 16S ribosomal RNA
Rfam family: Bacterial small subunit ribosomal RNA
Source: RNAcentral
CCUACGGGAGGCAGCAGUGGGGAAUAUUGGACAAUGGGCGCAAGCCUGACCCAGCAACGCCGCGUGAAGGAAGAAGGCUUUCGGGUUGUAAACUUCUUUUGUCAGGGAAGAGUAGAAGACGGUACCUGACGAAUAAGCCACGGCUAACUACGUGCCAGCAGCCGCGGUAAUACGUAGGUGGCAAGCGUUGUCCGGAUUUACUGGGUGUAAAGGGCGUGUAGCCGGGUUGACAAGUCAGAUGUGAAAUCCUGCGGCUUAACCGCAGAACUGCUUUGGAACCUGUUGAUCUUGAGUACUGGAGGGGCAGACGGAAUUCCUGGGGUAGCGGGGAAAUGGG